CCUACGGGAGACAGCAGUGAGGAAUAUUGGUCAAUGGACGAAAGUCUGAACCAGCCAAGUAGCGUGAAGGAUGACUGCCCUAUGGGUUGUAAACUUCUUUUAUAAAGGAAUAAAACGAGGCACGUGUGCCUUUUUGCAUGUACUUUAUGAAUAAGGAUCGGCUAACUCCGUGCCAGCAGCCGCGGUAAUACGGAGGAUCCGAGCGUUAUCCGGAUUUAUUGGGUUUAAAGGGAGCGUAGAUGGGUUGUUAAGUCAGUUGUGAAAGUGUGCGGCUCAACCGUAAAAUUGCACUUGAUACUGGGAGUCUUGAGUACAGUUGAGGUAGGCGGAAUGCGUGGUGUAGCGGUGAAAUGCUUAGAUAUCACGAAGAACCCCGAUUGCGAAGGCAGCUUACUAAACUGUGACUGACAUUGAUGCUCGAAAGUGUGGGUAUCAAACAGGAUUAGAUACCCGAGUAGUC
Molecule: ribosomal RNA, 460 nt
Filed under: uncultured bacterium
Lineage: Bacteria
Description: partial 16S ribosomal RNA
Rfam family: Bacterial small subunit ribosomal RNA
Source: RNAcentral